RNAcentral lists this ribosomal RNA (383 nucleotides) under Oxyrrhis marina. RNAcentral's name for it is "partial Bacterial large subunit ribosomal RNA". It matches the Rfam family "Bacterial large subunit ribosomal RNA", at positions 231 to 672 of the family's 2925-position model. The record is from RNAcentral. Lineage: Eukaryota; Dinophyceae; Oxyrrhinales; Oxyrrhinaceae.
GAUACUCCCCUAGUAGCGGCGAGCGAACGGGGAUCAGCCAAGCCUUGAGAGUGACCAGAAUGUGCUGGAAAGCACAGCCAUAGCGGGUGACAGCCCCGUAUGGGAAGCUCGAUGGGAUGUAUUAAGUAGGGCGGGACACGUGAAAUCCUGUCUGAACAUGGGGGGACCAUCCUCCAAGGCUAAAUACUCCUGACUGACCGAUAGUGAACCAGUACCGUGAGGGAAAGGCGAAAAGAACCCCGGUGAGGGGAGUGAAAUAGAUCCUGAAACCGCGUACGUACAAGCAGUAGGAGCCUCUUUUAUGGGGUGACUGCGUACCUUUUGUAUAAUGGGUCAGCGAGUUAUUGUUAGUAGCAAGGUUAACCGUUUAGGGGAGCCGUAGG